RNAcentral lists this ribosomal RNA (273 nucleotides) under uncultured bacterium. Its description in RNAcentral is "partial 16S ribosomal RNA". It matches the Rfam family "Bacterial small subunit ribosomal RNA", at positions 524 to 794 of the family's 1533-position model. The record is from RNAcentral.
UACAGAGGUCCCCAAGCGUUGUUCGGAUUCACUGGGCGUAAAGCGUCCGUAGCCGGUUUGAUAAGUCUCUUGUGAAAUUGUUGGGCUUAACCUAACAACGUGCAAGGGAAACUAUCUCACUUGAGACUGGGAGGAGGCAGAAGUAUUCUGAGGGUAGCGGUAAAAUGUUAUAAUCCUCGGAGGACUACCAGUGGCGGAGGCGUCUGCCUAGAACAGGUCUGACGGUGAGGGACGAAGGCCAGGGGAGCAAAACGGAUUAGAUACCCGAGUAGU